GCACUGUUGAAGAGUCCCAAACUAGGACGAAACAGCUGUCCAGUAC
Trichobilharzia regenti is the source of this 46-nucleotide non-coding RNA. The record is from Rfam. Lineage: Eukaryota; Metazoa; Platyhelminthes; Trematoda; Strigeidida; Schistosomatidae.